Molecule: transfer RNA, 65 nt
Filed under: Thermophis baileyi
Lineage: Eukaryota; Metazoa; Chordata; Lepidosauria; Squamata; Dipsadidae
Description: tRNA-Ala
Source: RNAcentral
AGAGCUUUAGUUUAAUUAAAAUAUCUGUGUUGCAAUCAGUGGAUGUAGUAAAUCUGCAAGCUCUA